Molecule: long non-coding RNA, 843 nt
Filed under: Hordeum vulgare
Lineage: Eukaryota; Viridiplantae; Streptophyta; Magnoliopsida; Poales; Poaceae
Description: long non-coding RNA (HVUL_LNC008706)
Source: RNAcentral
ACAUUGCUCUUCCUCUCUCGCACGCCCGCCACUCGCCAUUCUCCUCCCCCGCCUUCUUCUUCGCCACUUUUGUCGCCUCCCCAUAGCUAUGGCGUCGAAGAGAAGCGCUACCGCUGCUGGACCACGGGCGGAAUCGGCGUUAUUGCCCUCUAUCGUCCGAAACCUGGAGGCGCUGCAGGAGCUCGCCACGCUAACGGUCAGUGCCCAUAAUAAAAGAAAAGCAGAAGAAAUAAAAAAGGGAAAACAAAAGAAAAACCCCUUGCCCCUGGGCCUUAGGCCAAAAGGACAGGCCUAGCCGAGCAAACCCCUCGGUCGUCCCCCACCUCGCUACAGUGGGGCGGCCGAGGGCUAGCACCUAUGCGUCACCGCCGAACAGAUCUGGCCAAACGGGCCAUGUAACUGGGCCGGCCCGAUAGCCCACGUGUCUGGCACGACACGGGCCCAACCCGACACGGGCUAAUCGUGCUCGGGUCCGACACGAAGCACGCAUCGGGCCGUGCCUGAGCCUGGAGGCUGGGCACGCGGGCCGGCACGACAUGACCCAUUUACCAUUUUUUUUGUAUAUAUAUAAGAUAAAAAGCCCAAUAGGUCAAAAUCAACCCAAAAAACAGCCCACUAUGUCAAAAUCGGCCCAAAUAAUAGCCGCACACGUCGAAAUCGGCCUAAAUAACGGCCUAAAAUACUAAAAUCCUAGCAAGCAAACGGGCCUGGAGUGCCGACGGGUCGUCCUGUAUAGCCCCGUGUCGUGCUUGGGCUUGGACCCUGGGCACGUGGGCCGGCACAGCACGGCCCGUUUAAUAAACGUGCCUCGGCGGGUCGUGUCGUGCCAGGCACGAUUCUGGC